UGGAAAUAGGAUCUAAAAUUCAGGAAAGUAGUCAAAAGAUUUAUGUAGCAAAUUGUACAAGUAGCAGGAGGAAACAAAUUAAAUGUAAAUAAAGAAUAGCUUACCUUCAGUACAGGAUUUUUCCUAAGAAGGCAGGCGAUAUGAACACAGUAUGUAUACUCGGUAGCCGCCUUUGAUGAAUUAACAACCUAACAACAACAGCAAAAGAACACAUUGGAUUCACAAAUCAUCUAUUCUAGCAAGCCAUGAAUCCAACAUUUGAAUGAUCUAUUGAGGACAAUGACAACAACAACAAAAGCACACAUUAGAACGCACACCACAAACUGAUACAUAGGGCUAAUUAGUUUACCCAAUCCAAUACACUUAAGUAAGUGUCAAAAAAUAUACUUCUCAGAUAGUAGUGUCAUACAACAAACUUCAGAAUUUAGUACAUCUCUGGAAUCGGGACAAAGUCUCAUUACCUCAAAUGGGCUUCAGUCUCAUUAUUCAUGGAUGAAUACUUCUAUAGCAUUGACGAUUAGUAUAAUAUUGAGUACCUGUCAGAUAGUAGUGUCGCAGAACAAAUGGUUGUUGUCUCUUUCCAAUCAAACGUAUGAGUAAAUUGCUUGAGAGAUACAGUUAGUUGCUUGCUCAACAACAAAAGGGAAACCAUAUGGCAUAGAGUCCGUUGCUUUCUCUGAAACAAAAGGAAACCAAAAAGAAAUUCAUCUCACAGCUUACUGCUUGAAUAAUCUUGAGAACAUGAGGAGCCUUUAGUGUGAAGAUCCUUCACAAGGGCCUACCGAAACAUACAAAGAUCAACAGCUCCAUCUACUGGAGAAAAGGUUCGAUGCAAAGGUCAUAUUAGUUCAUGGAGUAACAACAACAAUAAAGUUAUACAGUCCACUCGAUCCGAGUAACCACAAUAAUAACUAAUUUUGACGAAGAUCAAUUUCAGGUCUAAAAUUUCAAGCCUAAUGAAAAACAAAAUGCAAUAGACAUAACUGAAUAAUGGGUACAUGAUAGUAGGUUAAAUAAGCCCAUACAACUUGUGGUCUGUGGUAAUAAGAAUUAGAAUUCAAGCUCAUACAAGUAAAUAAAUAGAUUAUCAAAUAGCUAUAUUAGGUUACAGAGCAACAAUAGUGCUACCAUGAGGUUGCAGUGAGGAAUAGUGGAAAAGGAAUAAAAAAAUGUGUAAGCAUGAGAGCAAACUUCCUCCAAUAAUUUUUGUGCCAGUCACAUAGCAGGUGCAUUCCUGUUCUAAUUAAAUCAGAUAAUCAAUGAUGGAAUAAUCCCAUUAAAGGGUAUAGUUGCAUUAUUUUUCAUGUUUUUCUUCACCGCAAAGAUCAUAUAUCUGAGUGUAGCCUUUACAGCUAACUUUCAUCAGCUCCCAGACCGUCGUGGUAGGUUGUUGAUGAAAAUAACAGUAACACAAUCAUAUAUCUGAGUGUAGCCUUCACCGCAAGAAAAAUGUGUGAUGUAGUACAAUGGUGACACCAACGCCUCCUGGCUGUGCCCAGCUGCGGCAACUGCCACCGGACGGCGCCCCCAUCCAGGAGUACACAAGUUGCCCCACGCCAACCGAGAUCUUUCAAAUCUUCUCUAUCAUUGUCAUCGCAAAAGGACUUUCAUCAGUGGCUCGCUGACAAUCUCCCCCAAACCCUACAAGAGAUUCAAGUAAGUUUAAACUUCCAUUUUGCACAUGUGCAAUUGAGUCACUCACCUUGCUAGAUUAGGUCAGAUCUAUUACCCCUACCUAAGCCCUCCGAAUUAUGGUAUUUUCCUGUCCAGAUAAUGGAUCAACAAGCUUGUCCCUUCAUAUUGUCAAACACGGGCUGACUGGACCAUCUACUUUGGUCAUUCAAAUUAUAAAACACAAUCAUGAUGUUGAAAUCUCAUAUCAUUCCAUCACGUGAGCUUUUCCCAUUUUUUUUAAAAGAGCUUUUCUCAGUUUUGGACAAACUGAAUGACGGUGACGAUUUGUACAUUGUAGCUUUUCCUUUCAUAUGCUUCACUGGCUAGAUGGGAGAGCGCGCAGUGCCCCUAUGUUCAACCCCAAAAACCUUGAUUCAAGGUUUGUAGGUCAUAGUAGUUGUCAUCACUCGCAAGCUUGCUUGUACACUAUAAAAAGCUGCAUGACGAAGCACAUCAAGAGCAGCAAAGGUGCUGUCAAGUUGUUAUGCAUAUCAUAUGGCACAUGUAGGACAACAAAAUGACAGUCAUCAAGGAAAAUAUAUAAUUACCAAAAUCAACCCCAAAUCAGCACUCACAUCUCCAUCUAUGUAUCAGACUACUUGGAACUGAACUGAAUAUAAAGCAAGAUUUAAGUGUUGACCAUUAGUCCUUAAUGUCCCGUGUGUUCUCCAUCUUGCUCCUCACUUUACUGUCCUACUCUAGUUCGUAGUCUAAAUUUAGUUACUGGUUGCACUCACCUUUAAGUGAACACUAAAGUUUUAACAGGAUAAAUCACACAGAUAUAUCAUUACCUUAGUCAAUAGAGUCCUGGAACUGGGUCACAAGAUCCUGACAAAACUGACCGGAGUUUUAAUAGUUCUCUGAAACUUUUCAUGUCUAAUUUGCUACUACUCACAUUUCUUUCUUGGAUUAAAUAAGCCCCAUGAAAGCAGACCAUUUCUUGGGGUAUACGACUGAAAAGAAGGUUGUAAAAUUCAUCAAAAUCCUCUAGAACAAAACAGCAUCACAUACUUUUUGCGCAAGUAUUGUAAAAACAAGUAUUACCUGUCCUAGCCUUUCUUUCUCGACAGUCUCUGGCUUGUACUGAAAAAACAGUAUGACAUACUUUUUUACUCCUACAACUACCUUCAUGAUGAUCGGAAGAAAGUGUCGCAGACACUAUGCAUAUUUAUUUUGUUGGGUUGUGCAGAUCCAAUUGAGAAGUCCCUAAAGCUGGAAGGACUUGAGAGAAUUCAGUACACUAUUAUUAGGAGCCAACAAUUCCGUUUCAGAACACAAUUGCUAUAGAUAUAUGAUGCUAAAAAAUCCGUUCUUAAAAUAUCCUUCAUAUUUAAACUCGACAUAUCUAGAAAAUGAGAGCUUUGGCCUUCUUCUGAUAACAUGAAAGUAGCAGCUAGUAGCCAUGCUGCAACUCCAUAUUUUAGAUGCUUUCAGUGAAUACACAAGACAUGCAAGGACCGCUCACAGUUUCAGCGGCAAUGUGAGCAAAACAAGUCAGCAAGCACGUAAUGAUUUCCAGGCUGAGAAGAGUGUAGAUAGACGUGCAUAACAAGUAUUCCUAUAUACGACCCUUCACCACUUAUCUGCUUCUAAAACAAACCAUAUACUAAAAGCUAGAAUAUAGAUCACCAAAAUGUUGCGAUAAUUCUGAUUUUUGCAGUUGACAGAACAGUAUUAGUAGAUAGUAAGUAGUAUUGUUCUGGAAUUUAGUGAAACGAAAGCAUGAUUAGCAUAUCAAAAUACCGUAUUAAUCAACCCAUUGUAUCUGGAAGAAUAGGACGGCGACAAUGUCUCACGGGGUCAUCCAUGAUCGCAGUGGAUGUAAAUCGCUUGGUGGUCGGUGAUGAACUGGGCGAGAUGGAUGCACCCGAUGGACGUUUUGAGCACAGUACUUGACACAAUAGCCUUGAUCUUUGCGACCCCUCUUCAAAGCUGCCUUUCUAUCCUAAAAUCUCCUGAAAAAAAUCAAAAUCCGAGACAGAUGGUAGCCGGUGAGGGGAACUGACCACGUGCUACUGAAGUAAGCCUCUGCUUUUUAUGUUCCGAGAGGUCAAAUCUCCGGCUGGUUCUAGUGAUACUUAUCAGCCUAAAACUACUUGGUCACAUAUGGACAUGAAGUCCAACUGAUUGAGACAUCGCUAAAUAGUUCAAACUUUUUCACUAACGGUUUGUGACUAAUAAGUCAGUCACAUGUUAGUACUACACGGUGCAAAAAAAAGAAUUAUAGCAAUUGGAGUUCACUUGUUCCGUUUUUUAUCUAAGUAAUGAGAAACAAAUAGGAUCUGCUUUCUUGCUAAAAAUUCUUUAAGCAAGGGAUCAACAUAACUUCCGUCAAAUUCUAUGAAAUCAUAUGAUGCUAGAUAACAAUAACAGCAUCAAACUCUACAAAAUAAAUGCCUUGGCAUUUAAAAAAAUCCAUGAUGAGCUCAUUGAUGAGAAACAGACAAACACUAUGCCAAUAAAUAAUUACCACUACCUAAGCAUCAUUGAGCUACAUACUAUGACGCUCUUGUUUAUUCAGUAGAAGAGCAAGAAAAGUCUUCCUUUCAGCGUGAUAAUUGGAAAUAUUUCAGAUGCAGAAGAGUAGGAAAAGAAUGUAUCAAUGGAUGAACAGUUUCAAUAUGAAAAUACUUACUUGCAUUCUAAAGAUUAUUCAGUUUAUGGAACUUUAAAAAGUAAUAAAUGGCAAAAGCUUUUAUAUUGUCUUCAGAGGAUAAAACAACCAUGCAUGUUUGAACAAAGUUCAUAAUCAAGUUGUAAACCAGAUACCUUUCUAGUUGCAAUACCUCCUUCAGCAUCCUCUUUCUUGUUGUAGGAAAAAAUAAGCUUGAAUAAUGAUCCAAGAGCAAAGGCGUUGGGACUAUCAGUGCCACCCAUCAGCAGCACUGUCGACUUACAUUUCUUCCUUAUUGGACCAUCACAUACUAUGUUCUUCUUAACUAUCACCUACUCAAGGCAGUUGCAGAGCUUUGCAUAUAAUUUCAUAUUAUUUCAACAUAAAUAGCACAACUUAUCGAAUAAUCCAGUAUACAAAGAUAUGCACGAAUUUCAGCACAACACAAAGAUCUAAACUUCAUGCUUUUAUAAGGGUAGUAGUAGAUGAACACUAUAUCACUACAAUAACUGACAAUAGUAUCUGAAUUGUGGAGCACGACCACAAUGUUCAGAAAAGACGCAUGACAUUUACCUGAACAUGGAUAACCUGUUCAUCAAUCAAGAAGGCAUGUCUCUACAAAGAAUAAUAUUCAGUUUCACCAGUUAAAACUACUUCUUGCGUUUAACUGCAUUUCGCUCUAAUUGGCCUAACCUCAAAACUGAGGACAGAUCAGUCUACUGCUAUUGCAGCAAGCAAAAUGAAAUUUAUUCAAAGACACAAGAUGACAUAGAGAGCAAGCAUGACAUGGUGGAUAAAAUGCGACAGAUCGGUAGCCGGUACUCCCUCUGUAAACUAAAAUAAGAGCAUUUAGAUCACUAACAUAAAACUGGCUCAAUGUGACACGAAUUGCAACAGAUGUCAACACCUAUGAAGCUACACACGGGCAACUCCCAGUUCAUUGAAGUAUACCACAACUGUAUACAUACUGCUAAGGACAUACAGAGAUCAGAACUAAGAAUAGGAAGUGAUGGUAACCUGACUGUAGCUGCGACGGCGGCAGUUCCAAGACGGCCUAGGCGAGGCGGCGGAGAACCGGCAGGCGUCGUGGGGAGUGUGGCCGCGAAGGGGCCAGCGGUGGGGCGUCGUGGUCGCUGUUUGGGGAUGGCCUGAGUUGGGAGAGG
This 5451-nucleotide long non-coding RNA is filed under the name Triticum aestivum (bread wheat). Its description in RNAcentral is "long non-coding RNA (TAES_LNC011540)". Lineage: Eukaryota; Viridiplantae; Streptophyta; Magnoliopsida; Poales; Poaceae. The record is from RNAcentral.